RNAcentral lists this non-coding RNA (31 nucleotides) under Homo sapiens (human). Lineage: Eukaryota; Metazoa; Chordata; Mammalia; Primates; Hominidae. The record is from RNAcentral.
GACAAUGUUGCCACUGGGAUCUGUAUUCCCU